This 132-nucleotide ribosomal RNA is filed under the name Triticum aestivum (bread wheat). Its description in RNAcentral is "partial small subunit ribosomal RNA". The record is from RNAcentral. Lineage: Eukaryota; Viridiplantae; Streptophyta; Magnoliopsida; Poales; Poaceae.
AUGAGACAAAAGAUAUUCUUUCUAAAGAUAUUCGAUUCGGAACUCUUAUUUGUCCAAGGUCAAUAUGGAAAUUCUUUCAGAGGUUUUCCAUUACUUUGUCCGUGUCAACAAACAAUUCAAAAUACUGCUUGA